CGCCCUCAGCCUUACUCCAGGGGCUUUCUGCUGUGAAGUGCCCUGGCAUUGCCUGGGGGUACAUGAAAAAAGCACAGACCCUCCCCAGGAAGACUCUGUUUUCUUGUGGGGCCUACGAAUUGAGCUGACAGC
RNAcentral lists this small nucleolar RNA (132 nucleotides) under Rhinolophus ferrumequinum (greater horseshoe bat). RNAcentral describes it as "Small nucleolar RNA SNORA49 (ENSRFEG00010017309.1)". It matches the Rfam family "Small nucleolar RNA SNORA49". Rfam says of the family: The snoRNA ACA49 has no identified RNA target. NB genomic sequence 1-nt different from published. Lineage: Eukaryota; Metazoa; Chordata; Mammalia; Chiroptera; Rhinolophidae. The record is from Rfam by way of RNAcentral.